UCAGGGAUGAUAUAGUCAAAUGAGCAGGAAAAAGAACUGGUAUAGGAUUGAUGUUGAGGUCUGCGAUGGCAAUGAUUCAGCCAAGGAACUUCGCCUAUGACAAUCAUGCAACUCUUCUGGAACACGAUGAUAGAGUCAUGAUGGCUGCUUGUGAUGCAUUUUGUGCCGUUCUCAAAUAGCAAAUUCGAUGAAAGAGCUGCAGAGCGAUCAAUUGACUUCAUGAUUGGAUGGUUAGUAGCUCACAAGCUCUCAGCACAAUGGUUCAAGAAUUUUCUUAAGAGACCUUAGACUUUCUAAUAUUUAUAUAUAUGUAUCUUGUUACGAUAAGUAAUGUAACGAGAUUUAUAAAAGAAUCAUAUAUGAAGUAGUUACAUGUGAUUGUCUGCUUGGAA
Molecule: long non-coding RNA, 392 nt
Organism: Trifolium pratense (red clover)
Lineage: Eukaryota; Viridiplantae; Streptophyta; Magnoliopsida; Fabales; Fabaceae
Exons: 2
Source: RefSeq, a predicted model, not a curated record